CCACAUCAUUUUCUCUUUCUUCCACCUAAUCAUUCAACACACAUUCAACUUUUACCCUCUCCAAUGGUUUUUAUAUUCAACACCAUACCCCACCACUUUCUCUACCCCACCACUUUCUAUUUCAUAUUCUUAUUUAAAUUUUAAUUUUUGUUUUUAUGAUUAAAUAACAUUAUAAUUAUCGAUUAAAAUUAAAUUAAAAUAAGACACUUAACAAAAAUUAGGUGUGUUUUGAGGAUGUUGAUUGAAAAAUUGAUUUGAAUUUUGAUAAUUGUUGGGAUUUUGAUAAUUGUUGGGGUUUUGAUAAUUGUUGGAGUUUUGAUAAUUGUUGGGAUUUUGAGAAUUGUUGGGAUUUUGAGAAUUGUUG
This 364-nucleotide long non-coding RNA is filed under the name Trifolium pratense (red clover). Its description in RNAcentral is "long non-coding RNA (TPRA_LNC007323)". Lineage: Eukaryota; Viridiplantae; Streptophyta; Magnoliopsida; Fabales; Fabaceae. The record is from RNAcentral.